RNAcentral lists this ribosomal RNA (425 nucleotides) under uncultured bacterium. RNAcentral describes it as "bacterial SSU rRNA". It matches the Rfam family "Bacterial small subunit ribosomal RNA", at positions 354 to 796 of the family's 1533-position model. The record is from RNAcentral.
GUUAGGAAUAUUGCACAAUGGACGAAAGUCUGAUGCAGCAACGCCGCGUGGAGGAUGACGGCUCUAGGGUUGUAAACUCCUUUUCUUAGGGAAGAUUAUGACGGUACCUAAGGAAUAAGCUCCGGCUAACUACGUGCCAGCAGCCGCGGUAAUACGUAGGGAGCAAGCGUUAUCCGGAAUUACUGGGCGUAAAGAGUUCGUAGGUGGUAUUUUAAGUCAGAUGUUAAAUCUUUGGGCUCAACCCAGAGGCUGCAUUUGAUACUGAAGUACUAGAGACAAGGAGAGGUAAGCGGAAUUUGUAGUGUAGCAGUGAAAUGCGUAGAUAUUACAAGGAACACCAAUGGCGAAGGCAGCUUACUGGUCUUGUUCUGACACUGAGGAACGAAAGCGUGGGGAGCGAAAGGGAUUAGAUACCCGGGUAGUCC